AGUAACACGUAUCCAACCUGCCGUCUACUCUUGGACAGCCUUCUGAAUGGAAGAUUAAUACAAGAUGGCAUCAUGAGUCCGCAUGUUCACAUGAUUAAAGGUAUUCCGGUAGACGAUGGGGAUGCGUUCCAUUAGAUAGUAGGCGGGGUAACGGCCCACCUAGUCUUCGAUGGAUAGGGGUUCUGAGAGGAAGGUCCCCCACAUUGGAACUGAGACACGGUCCAAACUCCUACGGGAGGCAGCAUG
RNAcentral lists this ribosomal RNA (246 nucleotides) under uncultured bacterium. Its description in RNAcentral is "partial 16S ribosomal RNA". It matches the Rfam family "Bacterial small subunit ribosomal RNA", at positions 109 to 353 of the family's 1533-position model. The record is from RNAcentral.